GCCCUUGGCUCAGCUGGGAGAGCGUUAGACUGAAGAUCUAAGGGUCGCCGGCUCGAUCCCGGCUCGUGGCA
Molecule: non-coding RNA, 71 nt
Organism: Aphelenchus avenae
Lineage: Eukaryota; Metazoa; Nematoda; Chromadorea; Rhabditida; Aphelenchidae
Source: the annotation of a GenBank genome assembly